This 242-nucleotide ribosomal RNA is filed under the name uncultured bacterium. RNAcentral's name for it is "partial 16S ribosomal RNA". It matches the Rfam family "Bacterial small subunit ribosomal RNA", at positions 63 to 334 of the family's 1533-position model. The record is from RNAcentral.
CGAGCGAGGACUUCGGUCCUAGCGGCGGACGGGUGAGUAACACGUGGGAACAUGCCAAACUCUACGGAAUAGCCUCGGGAAACUGGGAGUAAUACCGUAUACGCCCUACGGGGGAAAGAUUUAUCGGAGUUGAUUGGCCCGCGUUGGAUUAGGUAGUUGGUGAGGUAAAGGCUCACCAAGCCGACGAUCCAUAGCUGGUUUGAGAGGAUGAUCAGCCACACUGGGACUGAGACACGGCCCAG